Molecule: ribosomal RNA, 581 nt
Filed under: uncultured bacterium
Lineage: Bacteria
Description: partial 16S ribosomal RNA
Rfam family: Bacterial small subunit ribosomal RNA
Source: RNAcentral
UGGGGAAUUUUGGACAAUGGGCGAAAGCCUGAUCCAGCAAUGCCGCGUGUGUGAAGAAGGCCUUCGGGUUGUAAAGCACUUUUGUCCGGAAAGAAAUCCUUGGCUCUAAUACAGUCGGGGGAUGACGGUACCGGAAGAAUAAGCACCGGCUAACUACGUGCCAGCAGCCGCGGUAAUACGUAGGGUGCAAGCGUUAAUCGGAAUUACUGGGCGUAAAGCGUGCGCAGGCGGUUUGCUAAGACCGAUGUGAAAUCCCCGGGCUCAACCUGGGAACUGCAUUGGUGACUGGCAGGCUAGAGUAUGGCAGAGGGGGGUAGAAUUCCACGUGUAGCAGUGAAAUGCGUAGAGAUGUGGAGGAAUACCGAUGGCGAAGGCAGCCCCCUGGGCCAAUACUGACGCUCAUGCACGAAAAGCGUGGGGAGCAAAACAGGAUUAGAUACCCUGGUAGUCCACGCCCUAAAACGAUGUCAACUAGUUGUUGGGGAUUCAUUUCCUUAGUAACGUAGCUAACGCGUGAAGUUGACCGCCUGGGGAGUACGGUCGCAAGAUUAAAACUCAAAUGAAUUGACGGGGUCAUAGCU